UAGAGGCCUGAGUAAUGGAAUUUCAAUU
RNAcentral lists this non-coding RNA (28 nucleotides) under Homo sapiens (human). Lineage: Eukaryota; Metazoa; Chordata; Mammalia; Primates; Hominidae. The record is from RNAcentral.